RNAcentral lists this ribosomal RNA (335 nucleotides) under uncultured Anoxybacillus sp. RNAcentral's name for it is "bacterial SSU rRNA". It matches the Rfam family "Bacterial small subunit ribosomal RNA", at positions 1044 to 1382 of the family's 1533-position model. Lineage: Bacteria; Bacillati; Bacillota; Bacilli; Caryophanales; Anoxybacillaceae. The record is from RNAcentral.
CAUGGUUGUCGUCAGCUCGUGUCGUGAGAUGUUGGUUAAGUCCCGCAACGAGCGCAACCCUCGACCUUAGUUGCCAGCAUUCAGUUGGGCACUCUAAGGUGACUGCCGGCUAAAAGUCGGAGGAAGGUGGGGAUGACGUCAAAUCAUCAUGCCCCUUAUGACCUGGGCUACACACGUGCUACAAUGGGCGGUACAAAGGGUCGCGAACCCGCAGGGGGAGCCAAUCCCAAAAAGCCGCUCUCAGUUCGGAUUGCAGGCUGCAACUCGCCUGCAUGAAGCCGGAAUCGCUAGUAAUCGCGGAUCAGCAUGCCGCGGUGAAUACGUUCCCGGGCCUU